GAUGAACGCUGGCGGCGUGCCUAAUACAUGCAAGUCGAGCGAGCGGACGAGAAGCUUGCUUCUCUGAUGUUAGCGGCGGACGGGUGAGUAACACGUGGAUAACCUACCUAUAAGACUGGGAUAACUUCGGGAAACCGGAGCUAAUACCGGAUAAUAUUUUGAACCGCAUGGUUCAAAAGUGAAAGACGGUCUUGCUGUCACUUAUAGAUGGAUCCGCGCUGCAUUAACUAGUUGGUAAGGUAACGGCUUACCAAGGCAACGAUGCAUAGCCGACCUGAGAGGGUGAUCGGCCACACUGGAACUGAGACACGGUCCAGACUCCUACGGGAGGCAGCAGUAGGGAAUCUUCCGCAAUGGGCGAAAGCCUGACGGAGCAACGCCGCGUGAGUGAUGAAGGUCUUCGGAUCGUAAAACUCUGUUAUUAGGGAAGAACAUAUGUGUAAGUAACUGUGCACAUCUUGACGGUACCUAAUCAGAAAGCCACGGCUAACUACGUG
This 497-nucleotide ribosomal RNA is filed under the name uncultured bacterium. RNAcentral's name for it is "partial 16S ribosomal RNA". It matches the Rfam family "Bacterial small subunit ribosomal RNA", at positions 28 to 507 of the family's 1533-position model. The record is from RNAcentral.